Molecule: long non-coding RNA, 1837 nt
Filed under: Neodiprion lecontei (redheaded pine sawfly)
Lineage: Eukaryota; Metazoa; Arthropoda; Insecta; Hymenoptera; Diprionidae
Description: uncharacterized LOC124296652
Source: RNAcentral
AUAAAUCGUUCUGAGGAGGGCCCAUAUCCAGGUCGAAACGUUAACUAAAAAUACGUUUUCUUAAUUGACCGAUCACCAAGACUCUAUAAUAUAUUACAUACGAGGUCGAGAAUUCUUAUCCAUCAACUAUUAUGAAAACAUGUGGGACUCAUGGGAUUAAGAUGGAAUGCAACUCACAAUGAUCUAGACCCUGAUCGACGGCUGCUGGUCACUUCCCCUGGUGUAUGAGACCUCUCCCGGCUACGGCUUCGCAAAUCAUAAUGAUGUUCAGUAGACGCAGUAAAUUUUCGUGGUAUUCGAAAAAAUCUCAGACAUAACAUAAACGUAAGAAAUUACAACACGCUCGGAGUGAAAGGUGUGGAACGGUCUCGGAAAUAUUAGAGAUAUUUCUUAUACUCCGAAGAAGUAGGUACGGUAGGCAGAUGCGUAAGACAUGACUGAAUUCAAACGAAGGGGAAGAAUAGCGUGUACAUAUACGUAUGCAGCACGAACAACAGCAGCUGCCCGCCACCCGUAAUACUACUACGAGUUCCACGUAAAUCGACUACAGAAUAUCUAAAAAUAGACAACUUACCAAGCUUAUCCCGAAGUGCAGGAGAGUCGCGGUGUCGCUGGUAUUACGGGUACAUAAAACACCGUAUUAUCGCGUGUACUUCACAGAAAAAAUGUUCACAUAAAUUAAACUUAAAUAACACGAGUACAUAAGCUACAGUAUGUACAGAAUACCGAAUACAUCUAAUCCCAUUAGUUUACUUCAUAGGUAGAAAAAUACUGGUCAGCUAUCAAACAACCGCCACUAGAUGUACGAUUCACGCUAGCGAUACGAUACGUGCCUUCUACACGCACAACACUGAUGACGUCAUUCUACUAAUAAUGCGUCGGAGCUCCGCUCCCCGAUUUGGGGGGGAGGGGAAUAGAAAGUUUAAGGUUCAAAUCUGUGCCGCAGGAACCGCGCGGCGUCGACAUAACCUUAGAACAACAACCAAUCAGAACGCCUACAAUAUGAAAGUUUUUCAAGACAAGGAUUUUCAUUGGCUCAUGCAUGCCGCGUGUCAAUCGUUAUGGCGGUCGAUUCGAACUGUUCGAAGCAUCCCGUCCCCCGCGCUCUAUGUAAGUCGACGCAACCGUUGGUUGAAAUGCGUUGCUGAUUGUUGCUCACGCGCAAUUUGGCAGCUGUGAAAAUACCGUCGCCACAACUUGGUGCAGUUUUAUUGAAAAAGAUUAUAAUAGAGAAUUGAUUUUAUUGAUUUCAAACUCACGGGAUCACAAUACAUUCUGGGAUAUUCAAUUUUUUCAACUUUCAGAAGCUUUUCACGUUCAAAUCAGUAAUUGGAAGAAAAGAAACCUUGGUUGAAACUGACCUUUCGCUCUGAAUGAGGAGUUUGUGGAUGGAAUUAAAUUAGAAUUUCCAAUUUGACUUCCUAACAGUAUUCAGUGAUACUAUUAGUGUAUUCAAUCACGCAUCAUUGAUGAAUAAUUUCUUUUUGAAUUCAUUUUAACCCGACAUUCUUCACUUGAACCUAUCAAAUCAUUUUAUCACUAGCACAGCUCUUACACACCCAUUCAUAUUUUUUAUGGGACAAAAAUUUCAUUGCCAUGUUAAGCUUUUCAAAUCCGCUAUGUAUAGCACUACACCACAUUAAAUUUCCUAAUUUAUUUAUAAUAUUGAAACUAAAAAUGUACAUGCAAAGUAAAUUAGUUUAAAAUUUUUAUUUUAAGAAGUACAUGAGAAUAGACAGAAGUUUAUUUCUUGGCUUCACGGACAGCCUUGCGUUCAGCUGCUCUCUUGAGCUGUGCCUUAGGCUUCAAGUUGUGCUUCUUAGCAAAACGCUGGUUA